AAGCAUAUCAAUAAGCGGAGGAAAAGAAACUAACAAGGAUUCCCCUAGUAACUGCGAGUGAAGCGGGAAAAGCUCAAAUUUAAAAUCUGGCGGUCUUCGAUCGUCCGAGUUGUAGUCUGGAGAAGCGUCUUCCGCGCUGGACCGUGUACAAGUCUCUUGGAACAGAGCAUCGUAGAGGGUGAGAAUCCCGUCUUUGACACGGACUACCAGUGCUUUGUGAUGCGCUCUCAAAGAGUCGAGUUGUUUGGGAAUGCAGCUCAAAAUGGGUGGUAAAUUCCAUCUAAAGCUAAAUAUUGGCGAGAGACCGAUAGCGAACAAGUACCGUGAGGGAAAGAUGAAAAGCACUUUGGAAAGAGAGUUAAACAGUACGUGAAAUUGCUGAAAGGGAAACGAUUGAAGUCAGUCGCGUCGUCUAGAACUCAACCUUGCCUCGGCUCGGUGCAUUUUCUAGUUGACGGGCCAGCAUCAGUUUUGACCGUCGGAAAAAGGUCCUCGGAAUGUGGCACCUUCGGGUGUGUUAUAGCCUUGGGUCGUAUACGACGGUUGGGACUGAGGACCGCAGCACGCCUUUAUGGCCGGGGUUCGCCCACGUACGUGCUUAGGAUGC
RNAcentral lists this ribosomal RNA (607 nucleotides) under Phlebia radiata. RNAcentral's name for it is "LSU rRNA". It matches the Rfam family "Eukaryotic large subunit ribosomal RNA", at positions 36 to 626 of the family's 3401-position model. Lineage: Eukaryota; Fungi; Basidiomycota; Agaricomycetes; Polyporales; Meruliaceae. The record is from RNAcentral.